This 508-nucleotide long non-coding RNA is filed under the name Mus spretus (western wild mouse). Its description in RNAcentral is "predicted gene, 39090 (ENSMSPG00010014127.1)". Lineage: Eukaryota; Metazoa; Chordata; Mammalia; Rodentia; Muridae. The record is from RNAcentral.
AGGGGCAGGGCUAGUCACCGCAUGGGAAGCAGAAACCAGACACAGACUGAGAGAGCACCCAGAAGAAAUCAGAGCACAGCCAAAUUUCUAAUCAGAGAUAAGAUGCAAAAGGAAGGUCCAGCCUUCUGGAAUAUGCAGAAGGUUUGACAAAGGCUGUCGUGGGGCUAAAUGAAUGUGAUCAUCCAGAGAUAAAUAAGGAGAAGAAAAGCUAUGGAUUCCUUCAAAAUGAAUGAAAAUCAGAUUUGAUCAGGGGAGAUCCCCUGAAGAUCCUGACUGCAGACAUGAAAGAAAUCAAGAAUACCAACAAAACAGACAGGUCAGCUCCAGGCAGCACCCCCAUUCUACUUCAUAGAAGAUGAUGAGCAUCGAGAACCUCUGUACGGAGUUUGCUUCAAAUGUGGCAAACAAGCCACUGGGCAAGAAACUGCUCUUGCUUCAGCCGCUGACAGUAUGCUGUCCAAACUGGACCAACAGGAUGCAGGAGUUGCCCUGGUCCCAGUGUCUCUUC